GACGAACGCUGGCGGCGUGCUUAACACAUGCAAGUCGAACGGAAAGGCCCUGCUUUUGUGGGGUGCUCGAGUGGCGAACGGGUGAGUAACACGUGAGUAACCUGCCCUUGACUUUGGGAUAACUUCAGGAAACUGGGGCUAAUACCGGAUAGGAGCUCCUGCUGCAUGGUGGGGGUUGGAAAGUUUCGGCGGUUGGGGAUGGACUCGCGGCUUAUCAGCUUGUUGGUGGGGUAGUGGCUUACCAAGGCUUUGACGGGUAGCCGGCCUGAGAGGGUGACCGGCGACAUUGGGACUGAGAUACGGCCCAGACUCCUACGGGAGGCAGCAGUGGGGAAUAUUGCACAAUGGGCGGACGCGUGAUGCAGCGACGCCGCGUGCGGGAUGACGGCCUUCGGGUUGUAAACCGCUUUGGCAUGUGACGAAGAGUGAGUGACGGUAAUGGGUAAAAAAGCAACGGCUAACUACGUG
This 468-nucleotide ribosomal RNA is filed under the name uncultured bacterium. Its description in RNAcentral is "partial 16S ribosomal RNA". It matches the Rfam family "Bacterial small subunit ribosomal RNA", at positions 28 to 507 of the family's 1533-position model. The record is from RNAcentral.